AGAGAGAGAGAGAGAGAGAGAGAGAGAGACAGAGAGAGAGAGAGAGAGAGAGAGAGAGAGAGAGAGGGUUAGCCUUUGGGGUUGGUAGAUUAUAGUCAGAGGCGUCGGGGCGAUCGGAGCAGCAGGAGGAUUAGAGCUACAAAGUGAGGAUGAGGAGGAUUAAAGAGGAGGAAGAGGACAGGAGGAGAUAAAGGGGCAGCAGCAGUUCGUACCUGAGAGGAACCGACAGUUUCAGAUCCGAUGUUUGCCUGGCGACCUCUGACCCCAGCCCGUAAUGAUGACCCGGUCCAGGUAGAGGAGGCGGAGCCUAAGAAAGAGGCAGCUGAUGAACUUCCUGCCUGACUGACUCGGAUGCACCAUGUCCCCCCCCCUGCUCUUCAUCAUCAUCAUCAUCAUCAUCUCUCCGUCCUCCUCUCAGCCCAGCGGCCCCUUGGACGCCUGCAGCUUGGGGGCGGGGCCAGGACGGCAGGCCCUCCCCUGUCAGCCCCCCCCCACCAACAUGAAGGAGUUCAUGCAGAUCAGAGUCGACCCCCCUGGCAUCACCUGUGGAAACCCCCCAGAGAGGUUCUGCACUCUGGAGAACCCGUACCUGUGCAGCGACGAGUGCGACGCUUCCAGCCCUGACCUGUCUCACCCCCCUCAGCUGAUGGGAGACAGGGAGAGAGGGGGGCUCAUCACCUAUUGGCAAACCAUCACCUGGUCCAGGUAUCCUGAGCCCCUACUGGCUAACAUCACUCUGUCAUGGAACAAGAGUCUGGAGGUGGUUGAUGACAUCAUCAUUACCUUUGAAUACGGGAGACCGACCAGCAUGGUGCUGGAGAAAUCCAUGGACAAAGGUGCAACAUGGCAGCCAUAUCAGUUCUAUGCUGACGACUGCCUCGAGGCCUUCGGCAUGUCACCUAAACAAGUUUCUGACUUGGCGCCGACCAACCUAACCCGGGUCAUCUGUACUGAGAAGUACUCCCGCUGGGUUGGGGCCAAGGAAGAGAAGAACGUGGUGUUUGAGGUGCGCGCCCGAUUCGGUGUGUUCGCUGGGCCAAAGCUCAUCAACAUGGAUGCCCUUUACGUCCGGAUGGAGACGAUGAAAGGUCUCAGAGACUUCUUUACCUUUUCCAACCUCCGUCUGCGGCUCCUCCGCCCCGCUCUAGGAGGAACCUACGUCCAGAGAGAUAACCUACUGAAGUACUUCUACGCCGUUUCCAACAUUGACGUACCUGCCAGGUGCAGAUGCAACCUGCAUGCAUCGCGGUGCGUGCUGCGGGACGCCACUCUGCAGUGUGAAUGUGAGCACAACACAGGCGGACAGGACUGCCAGCGCUGCAGGGGGGGCUUCAGGUCCCGCAGCUGGAGGCCGGGAUCCUACCUGCCCCUGCCCAGAGGCGCCGCCAACACCUGUGCAGCAGCAGGAAUCGCGGUUGCAGCUUCUGAUGGACCAGGUGGAGUGACUGGCAUCACGACCUCUGACCGCAGCACCAAGCCUGACCUGAACGCUGCUGUCUGGACAUCGUCCACUCUGACUGACAGGACUUUCACUGGCAGCCCAACUCUUCCGGACAGAACCACCUCCAGCCCCUCUACCGCCACUGACAGCAUUCUGUCCAUGUUUUACUCUUCACUGACUACUUACACAACCACAGGAAGUGCUCUUACUCUACCAGGUGCAGCCAGAAGUCCGACUGCCACUGACCCACAGAGUCUCACUGCUGCAGAGACAAGUACUGCCCCUGAUAGUCCAGUUAUGACUGAUAACCCUGUAUUUGGUAGGACCAGCACUACAUGCAUGACUGACAUGAGCAGCACUACGGAUUCUGUCUUGGCCGUAGAUGUCUUCGCAGCAUCUGACAGUAGUGAUGCUGGUGCAGCAGGACCUGCAGACAUCAGUACAGCCCAGGGGAAAGUCACCAACGGUCCCAGUAGCACCAUUAGCAGCUACAGUGUAGCCAGUAACAGCGUCACAAUCUCAGCCAACACCAGGGAUUUGGAGGAGUCUAAGAGUAGCUCAGGGACACCACCCUUUUACUCCACCUUUUCUGGGACUGGUAAUACCGACUUGGUGACCAGUGUCCUUCCACCUGCUGUUGGUGUAGCGUCAUCAAACAGGGCCCAGAACCCAGCAACCAUUCCAGAAACCACUCCACCCAGUGAACAGCUGUCUUCAGGGGACGCUCUGUCAACUGGGACUACUCCACCCUCUCAGGAAGGAGACGCUCCACCUUCAGCCGGAGUUGACGCUACGGCUGUUUCUCCAGAUAUUCUAGAUAAUCCAACUGUCCCAUUAGAUGUAGCAACUGUUCCUGAAGAAGCUAAACCCAUUUUAAAAGCCCAGAGUACGCUUCCUGCCGUGGAACCUCCUGAAGAUGUUCGCCUUUAUGCACCUUCAGUUUUACCACCUUCAGACGUUCCACCAGGCGGCCUGUCAUCUAAAACUGCAACUGAUUUUCCGUCUUCUGAGUUACUUCUACCAAAGGAAUCUCCUCCUCUAGGAUCUACUUUAAAAAUACCUGCAGAAGCAGCAUUAUCCUCUAGAGAUCCGGACAGGUCGAUGGCUGUACCUUCUCCUGAUUCGGUUUCAGAUUUACCUUUUUCUGAUUUCCCUUCUCGUAAUAAACCUCCAGAAACGCCUCCUCCAGAUGUAGAGUCCUCUAGGACCCCUGGCGCUUUGACAGAUGCACCCCUCCCCUCACUAACUCCACCCACAGCUCCCCUUUCAGCUCCUGGGGCUGAUGUAGAGCCAUCGGCUCCUUCUGGGGGACAAUUGGAAUUAAAUCCAGGUUUUGAAACCUUGGAUCAAUCUAAACUCAGUGCUAAUCUAGAUGUGGACGAAUCACUACAGAAUCCAAUGCCUAGUUCAGAACAAGCAUCCGUUGGUGAUCCUGCAACCCAACAAGAAGAAAAGUCUUCUGGGGUGGAAGCAGCUCAGCCAUCCGAAGAACUGGCAUCUGGGAAAAAGGAGUCUAAAGAAGAAAGGACAGAUGAAAGAGAUAUGAAAGGAGUCGCCAUUUCCAAAGAGGAGGAGAAAGGCUUUGAGAAGAAAGCAAUCCAGAAGAUUCUGAUUCCAGGAGGACCAAAGUCCACUCAGCUGUCCAAAAUCAUUUACGUCAACUUCCAGGACUGUGAGUGUAACGGUCACUCCAACCGCUGCAGCUACAUUGACUUCAUCAAUGUGGUGACGUGUGUGAGCUGCAAGCACAACACGCGAGGACAGAGCUGCCAGUACUGCCGCCUUGGUUACUAUAGAAACGCCUCGCUGCCACUGGACGACGACAACAUCUGUGCGGACUGCGACUGCGACCCGGACGGCAGCGCGUCUCCUCACUGCUCUGACUCCGGUUUGUGUCGCUGUAAAGCUGGAGCCACCGGGCGGCGCUGUGACUCCUGUGUGUCUGGGUUCACCUGGCGAGGAGGCGGAGCCGGUUGCACAGAAAACCUCUGUGACUCGGAACGGCUGCUCUGCCAGAACGGCGGCACCUGCGUCGACUUCCUGCGCUGCACCUGUCCAGGCAACUCCACAGGUCAGUUCUGCGAGCAGAGAGUCUGCACGAAGAAGAGCGGCUGUACUAUGACCUCACAGGGCUCCUCCCCCUCGGUGACAUCACAGCUUCACCUGGUGACCUUCAUCCUAAUCAGCUACACCAUCAGCUGACCAUGCCCCGUUACAGACCACACCCACUAUGACAUCACAGGUGGAAUAAAGAUAAUUGGUCCUGAUUAAAAGCUUACAACCUUCAUUUUUUCUGCAGUAUGACAGGAAGUGACAUCACGCUAUUAUACUCAGACUGUUGCACCUGUCAGCGGUAAGGAAAAUGGGGCGUUGCUGCGAUGAUGAAGGCGGAGCUUCAGCUGCUCUGAAACACUUCCUGCUGCUGGCGACGCGCCGA
Poecilia reticulata (guppy) is the source of this 3878-nucleotide non-coding RNA. The record is from RefSeq and is a predicted model, not a curated record. Lineage: Eukaryota; Metazoa; Chordata; Actinopteri; Cyprinodontiformes; Poeciliidae.